Molecule: ribosomal RNA, 497 nt
Filed under: uncultured bacterium
Lineage: Bacteria
Description: partial 16S ribosomal RNA
Rfam family: Bacterial small subunit ribosomal RNA
Source: RNAcentral
GAUGAACGCUGGCGGCGUGCCUAAUACAUGCAAGUCGAGCGAACAGACGAGGAGCUUGCUCCUCUGACGUUAGCGGCGGACGGGUGAGUAACACGUGGAUCACCUACCUAUAAGACUGGGAUAACUUCGGGAAACCGGAGCUAAUACCGGAUAAUCUAUUGAACCGCAUGGUUCAAUAGUGAAAGACGGUUUUGCUGUCACUUAUAGAUGGAUCCGCGCCGCAUUAGCUAGUUGGUAAGGUAACGGCUUACCAAGGCAACGAUGCGUAGCCGACCUGAGAGGGUGAUCGGCCACACUGGAACUGAGCCACGGUCCAGACUCCUACGGGAGGCAGCAGUAGGGAAUCUUCCGCAAUGGGCGAAAGCCUGACGGAGCAACGCCGCGUGAGUGAUGAAGGUCUUCGGAUCGUAAAACUCUGUUAUUAGGGAAGAACAAAUGUGUAAGUAACUAUGCACGUCUUGACGGUACCUAAUCAGAAAGCCACGGCUAACUACGUG